AGUGAACGCUGGCGGUAGGCCUAACACAUGCAAGUCGAACGGCAGCACAGUAAGAGCUUGCUCUUACGGGUGGCGAGUGGCGGACGGGUGAGGAAUACAUCGGAAUCUACUUUUUCGUGGGGGAUAACGUAGGGAAACUUACGCUAAUACCGCAUACGACCUACGGGUGAAAGCAGGGGAUCUUCGGACCUUGCGCGAUUGAAUGAGCCGAUGUCGGAUUAGCUAGUUGGCGGGGUAAAGGCCCACCAAGGCGACGCUCCGUAGCUGGUCUGAGAGGAUGAUCGGCCACACUGGAACUGAGACACGGUCCAGACUCCUACGGGAGGCAGCAGUGGGGAAUAGUGGACAGUGGGCGCAAGCCUGAUCCAGCCGUACCGCGUGGGUGAAGAAGGCCUUCGGGUUGUAAAGCCCUUUUGUUGGGAAAGAAAAGCAGCAGGUUAAUACCCCGCUGUUCUGACGGUACCCAAAGAAUAAGCACCGGCUAACUUCGUG
Molecule: ribosomal RNA, 492 nt
Filed under: uncultured bacterium
Lineage: Bacteria
Description: partial 16S ribosomal RNA
Rfam family: Bacterial small subunit ribosomal RNA
Source: RNAcentral